CAUGCAAGACGAACGAGAUCUUCGGAUCUAGUGGCAGACGGGUGCGUAACGCGUGGGAACCUGCCCUUUAGUAAGGAAUAACUUUAGGAAACUGAAGCUAAUACCUUAUAAUCCCUCCGGGGGAAAGCUUUAUGCGCCAAUGGAUGGGCCCGCGUUAGAUUAGCUUGUUGGUGAGGUAAAGGCUCACCAAGGCUACGAUCUAUAACUGGUCUGAGAGGAUGAUCAGCCACACUGGGACUGAGACACGGCCCAGACUCCUACGGGAGGCAGCAGUGGGGAAUAUUGGACAAUGGGGGCAACCCUGAUCCAGCGAUGCCGCGUGAGUGAUGAAGGCCCUAGGGUUGUAAAACUCUUUCGCCAGGGAAGAUAAUGACGGUACCUGGUAAAGAAGAUCCGGCUAACUCCGUGCCAGCAGCCGCGGUAAUACGGAGGGAUCUAGCGUUAUUCGGAAUAACUGGGCGUAAAGCGAGCGUAGGCGGAUUUGUAAGUUGGAGGUGAAAUCCCAGGGCUUAACCCUGGAACUGCCUUCAAAACUACAUUUCUUGAGUUUGGUAGAGGAGAGUGGAAUUCCUAGUGUAGAGGUGAAAUUCGUAGAUAUUAGGAGGAACACCAGUGGCGAUGGCGACUCUCUGGGCCAAUACUGACG
This 646-nucleotide ribosomal RNA is filed under the name uncultured bacterium. Its description in RNAcentral is "bacterial SSU rRNA". It matches the Rfam family "Bacterial small subunit ribosomal RNA", at positions 54 to 745 of the family's 1533-position model. The record is from RNAcentral.